CGAAGCAGUGGAAGUAGUGCAAGCUGCCCGGAGACACAGAAAGAAACGUGUCCUGAGAACUUUCAAUCCGGUCCUGCAUUUCUUUUUCGCAGUCUCUAGAAGAAUAGGUAACACCACAUACUCUUACACACCGUUGCAAGAGAGCGACUGUUCAAAAUCAAGGCCUAUAGGAUGGCGCAGCCUAUACACGAUCACGACUCGCCCAGCACGCCCUUCAGUUGGACCGUCUUCAUAACAGUGGCAGCGGUUUUAGUCUUGCUGAUUCGGGCAGUGGAUAUUCGUCAGGCCUUUACAAUAGCCAUGGUAGCGGGUUUCGCGGUCUUUGUCUUCGCUUACAGCCUGCUGUUAGUCAGGGGUGGCUGAUUUGCUGAAUAGAUGACUAACAAGGUGUUGGACUCACGACGAAAGACGAUAUGACGCUAGUUCACCUUUAUCCGUUGGUUAACCUUUAUCCGUUGUUAAAAAAAAAACAGGGUAUUUAGGGAUACCAAUUCGAAGGACGGUAGUUUCAAAUUCUAUUAUAUUCAAAAUAUUACAGUUCGAAACCAUUGAUCGUCGACUUGAUACCCUAAAUAUAUAUCCUGUUUUUAAAACAAUGGAUAUAGGUUACCCCGCGGAUAAAAGUGAACUAGAGUUACAUGUAGAAAUGUCACACGCCGAUUGAAAAAAAAAUUGUACCCGAACUAUGAGUACGAGGGGAAGGACAACCUCAAGCCAACCGUAUACACUUACGCCACAUCUUCAGAAAAGACGCUGGAGGCCGUAUGUUCCCCGUAUAUAGGAACUUUGUUCGAACCAGUACACAACAAAAAUUUUUCGCCAUGUGGCUUCCUCAGUGUUAUGGGCUCGAAUGAGCUCGAGCAUAGUACAGCAUGAUCGCUUUUAUAGACCAGGUGCAUAGUGCCUUGACCGGUGCAGGUGCAAGGUGCCCUAGGUGGCUUAACCAAUCAGUUCAGCAAAAAUGACGUAGUGCAGUCUGAUCUAGGCUACUACAUGACCUCACUUGACCUCUACCCGAGCUAUAUUAAACGUUGGGCUUCGCCGAUGAAUAUAGUGUUGUGUGUCUCUUUUGUGUGUCUUUGAAGGGGAAGUCCUUCAGUUUCGAUGACGAAUCUUGAGAGUUUCGCUCCCCUCAUUUCUACUGCGCAUUUUACCUCAAACUUCGGACGAGGUACAACUGCCAGGCAUCCACACAAUCGACAGAGCGAGAUAUCGGAACAAGAGUGUACGAAAGGCACAUAAAAAACUUCAAGCAUGGACGGUGCUGCCUACUUCGCUGGGUUGGUUGUGAACUUCGUCAUUUCUGCGGCUGUAUUCGCUGUGACUCGGCAGGUGGAUUUGUACCCGGCCCUUUUUUGCAACAUGUUGGCGACUAUCCUUGUCUACACAUGUUUACAAAUUCAAACAGCACCAGACGGUGCUGCCUACUUCGCUGGGUUGGUUGUGAACUUCGUCAUGUCUGCGGCUGUAUUCGCUGUGACUCGGCAGAUGGAUUUGUACCCGGCCCUUUUUUGCAACAUGAUGGCGACUAUCCUAGUCUACGCAUGUCUACAAACAUCACCAGACGUGUGAGAGUGGUAGCUGAAACUGUACGGACGAAUAAGUUGUGACUGUUUGCGGAAAUAGCAGCUGCAUUCUGGUGUUAUUUGUGGUUUUGUGGAUUGUUGUGCUUUGAGUAGGAGAGUAGAGAGAUAUACCAAAGCUUUCUGUCGUCUUGACACUACAACCAACACCGUUUGUCAAGAAAAUGACAUGAUCAUGAAUUGGCCGUAGGGCAAUCCUGACUUCAAUGCUGUGGGGGGAGCACUUAAAGCAUAUCAAAUGUGCUAUCGUAUAUUACUUGUACUGCAUAGUUUUUUACUUGAAUGGCAAUGCCAAUCUCGCACUAUACACGCUUCUGUCGGUAAACUAUCUGUAUCCACCAUAAUAACCCAUAGAGUGACAAAAAGAUAUAAAUGCUAUUCCAUAUCCACCAUAACUGAUAAACUGACAUGAAGACCCCUUAACGCUUAACGUAAGUAAUCAAGACUCAUCCUUUGUGGCUGUUUAGUUGUUUACUGUAGUAAAUUUUACUUUAAAUGCCUCAUUUCUGAAGAAAGUUCUGUAGCUAUUAUUUCUAAUCUUUAUUUUUCUGUAGCUGGAAGAAAAACACAAACCACGUGUGGCAGAUUGUGGUCCUCUUGGAUAUAGUUUAGAAUGCUGCCUAGCUAUAUAAAUCUAGUUUGAUAUAUAGUCAAGAGUAGGGCUGGGUAUCGGUACAGCGUACCGGUACAAAACCGGUUUUUCUUAUUGAACCGGUCCAGAAAAACCGGACCUGAAAAAAUUAGGUG
This is a long non-coding RNA of Branchiostoma floridae (Florida lancelet), 2330 nucleotides long. RefSeq lists it as uncharacterized. The record is from RefSeq and is a predicted model, not a curated record. The transcript has 3 exons. NCBI's taxonomy places the organism in Eukaryota, Metazoa, Chordata, Leptocardii, Amphioxiformes, Branchiostomatidae.